UACAGAGGGUGCAAGCGUUAAUCGGAAUUACUGGGCGUAAAGGGUGCGUAGGCGGCGCGGUAAGUCGGAUGUGAAAUCUUGGAGCUUAACUCCGAAACUGCAUUCGAUACUGCCGUGCUUGAGGACUGGAGAGGAGACUGGAAUUUACGGUGUAGCGGUGAAAUGCGUAGAUAUCGGGAGGAACACCAGUGGCGAAGGCGGCACUCUGGGCCGGAACUGACGCUGAGGAGCGAAAGCGUGGGUAGCAAACAGG
RNAcentral lists this ribosomal RNA (253 nucleotides) under uncultured bacterium. RNAcentral describes it as "partial 16S ribosomal RNA". It matches the Rfam family "Bacterial small subunit ribosomal RNA", at positions 524 to 776 of the family's 1533-position model. The record is from RNAcentral.